Molecule: transfer RNA, 77 nt
Filed under: Clostridium sp.
Lineage: Bacteria; Bacillati; Bacillota; Clostridia; Eubacteriales; Clostridiaceae
Also listed under: 4 other names
Description: tRNA-Met
Rfam family: tRNA
About the family: Transfer RNA (tRNA) molecules are approximately 80 nucleotides in length.
Source: RNAcentral
GGCGGCGUAGCUCAGUUGGCUAGAGCAUUCGGUUCAUACCCGGAGUGUCAUCUGUUCGAGUCAGAUCGCCGCUACCA